GCCUGGGUGGCUCAGUCAGUUAAGCGUCUGACUUCGGCUUAGGUCAUGAUCUCACAGUGUGUGGGUUUGAACCCCGCAUCGGGCU
Molecule: transfer RNA, 85 nt
Filed under: Felis catus (domestic cat)
Lineage: Eukaryota; Metazoa; Chordata; Mammalia; Carnivora; Felidae
Rfam family: tRNA
About the family: Transfer RNA (tRNA) molecules are approximately 80 nucleotides in length. Their secondary structure includes four short double-helical elements and three loops (D, anti-codon, and T loops).
Source: Rfam by way of RNAcentral